UAAGGUUACUUGUUUUAUAGUUUUAUGAAAUGACCCCUUGAUUCAGGCUUUUGAUACAUUAAGAUUUUAAAACGCACGAUAUGUGCAAGGAGGUUUCAUAUUAUGAAACAAGGUACUGUUAAAUGGUUCAACGCUGAUAAAGGUUACGGUUUUAUCACUACUGAAGACGGUGACGUAUUCGUUCACUUCUCAGCUAUCAACAAAGAAGGUUUCAAGACUCUAGAAGAAGGCGAAAAGGUUACAUUGGACGUUGAAGACGGCGACCGUGGACCACAAGCUGCUAACGUUACUCCUGCAUAAGGAUAACCUCUUAGUUAACUUUUAGUUUAAAAAGAGAUCAAAAACACCCGAGAUUUUCUCGGGUGUUUUUUU
This 372-nucleotide small RNA is filed under the name Apilactobacillus kunkeei. Its description in RNAcentral is "cspA". It matches the Rfam family "cspA thermoregulator". Lineage: Bacteria; Bacillati; Bacillota; Bacilli; Lactobacillales; Lactobacillaceae. The record is from RNAcentral.